This 51-nucleotide transfer RNA is filed under the name Neosparton ephedroides. RNAcentral describes it as "partial tRNA-Phe". Lineage: Eukaryota; Viridiplantae; Streptophyta; Magnoliopsida; Lamiales; Verbenaceae. The record is from RNAcentral.
UAAUCGGACGAGAAUAAAGAUAGAGUCCCAUUCUACAUGUCAAUACCGGCA